CCUACGGGAGACAGCAGUGGGGAAUAUUGCACAAUGGGGGAAACCCUGAUGCAGCGACGCCGCGUGAGUGAAGAAGUAAUUCGUUACGUAAAGCUCUAUCAGCAGGGAAGAAAAUGACGGUACCUGAGUAAGAAGCCCCGGCUAACUACGUGCCAGCAGCCGCGGUAAUACGUAGGGGGCAAGCGUUAUCCGGAUUUACUGGGUGUAAAGGGAGCGUAGACGGUGCGCCAAGUCUGGAGUGAAAUGCCGCAGCUUAACUGCGGAACUGCUUUGGAAACUGGCGAACUAGAGUGCGGGAGGGGUAGGCGGAAUUCCUAGUGUAGCGGUGAAAUGCGUAGAUAUGAGGAGGAACACCGGUGGCGAAGGCGGCUUACUGGACCGUAACUGACGUUGAGGCUCGAAAGCGUGGGGAGCGAACAGGAUUAGAUACCCCGGUAGUC
RNAcentral lists this ribosomal RNA (440 nucleotides) under uncultured bacterium. Its description in RNAcentral is "partial 16S ribosomal RNA". It matches the Rfam family "Bacterial small subunit ribosomal RNA", at positions 338 to 795 of the family's 1533-position model. The record is from RNAcentral.